RNAcentral lists this ribosomal RNA (503 nucleotides) under Veillonella dispar. RNAcentral describes it as "bacterial SSU rRNA". It matches the Rfam family "Bacterial small subunit ribosomal RNA", at positions 28 to 500 of the family's 1533-position model. Lineage: Bacteria; Bacillati; Bacillota; Negativicutes; Veillonellales; Veillonellaceae. The record is from RNAcentral.
GACGAACGCUGGCGGCGUGCUUAACACAUGCAAGUCGAACGAAGAGCGAUGGAAGCUUGCUUCUAUCAAUCUUAGUGGCGAACGGGUGAGUAACGCGUAAUCAACCUGCCCUUCAGAGGGGGACAACAGUUGGAAACGACUGCUAAUACCGCAUACGAUCUAACCUCGGCAUCGAGGAAAGAUGAAAGGUGGCCUCUAUUUAUAAGCUAUCACUGAAGGAGGGGAUUGCGUCUGAUUAGCUAGUUGGAGGGGUAACGGCCCACCAAGGCGAUGAUCAGUAGCCGGUCUGAGAGGAUGAACGGCCACAUUGGGACUGAGACACGGCCCAGACUCCUACGGGAGGCAGCAGUGGGGAAUCUUCCGCAAUGGACGAAAGUCUGACGGAGCAACGCCGCGUGAGUGAUGACGGCCUUCGGGUUGUAAAGCUCUGUUAAUCGGGACGAAAGGCUUUCUUGCGAAUAGUGAGAAGGAUUGACGGUACCGGAAUAGAAAGCCACGGCUAA